AUGGGGAUUCUGCUCCUCCGAUUGGGAUGCCGCUCCCCAAGAUUGGGAUUCCGCUCCCUGGAUGGGGAUGUUGCUCCUUGGAUUGCAACGCUGCUCUCCGGACAAGGGUUGGACUCCCCAGGAGGGGAAGCUGAGGCUUGGGCUGGGGACACUGCCUGGGGUUCUGGGCUGCUCCUGCUCCUCAGGACUGCGUUGCUGUCAGGGCUACGUGGCUGCAGGUCAGCUGGGCUCAGCCCCUGCAGUGGCCGGAGUGGCCAUGUGGGGCUCAGGGCAGCGCCGAGGCUCCAGCCCCUGCUGACCCCUUUCUGCCCUGUGCCUCAACAGGGAUGGGAGAUGGGCACAGACUGCCUGCGAGGCAUGUGGGGUACCCCUGUGUCACCCGUGGGGCACCUCUGCAUUACUGGCAGCAAGCGGGGUCGGUGUCCUCCACUGCACCGAGCUGUGCCAGGUCUCGGAGCCCAACCUGCAGAAGCCAGGGGCAUCUGCCCCAGAGGUCAGGGCGAGCCAGCCCAGGGAAGAGCGUGGACUCAGGGGCUGUGGACAUGGCUCCUUGAGGGCGCAACCCCGGCACUUGGUGGCUUAAUGCCAAGCAGGGAGCUGUGCGGGGAGGUGCGAGGCCAGCUCCGCCGAGGGCUCGGCUGCCGGCUCCUGGCAUCCUCCCUGGCAUCCUCCCUAGCAUCCCUACCCGCAGCCAGCUACCUGCCAUCUCUGCCUGCAGCAUGCCCUUACAAGGGCACAGGCACGGCUCCCACCGCAGUCCUGCUUCGCCUGCGGUCCUCCCCGGCACCAGGACCCGCCAUGCCGAGGCCACCCCAUGGCACCACAUGGCGUGGCCACCCUGCCAUGCCACGGCCACAGUGCUGUGCCAUGGCCACCCAGCCCUGCCACUGUCACCCUGCCACCUGGACCCCUCUGCUCUGUAGCCCCCAUGGGGGCAGCAUGGCUGCUCCGGCUGGAAGGCACAGCUGUGCCAGGGAUGUUCAUGCCGGCCAAGAGCCAGUGGGCAGCUAA
RNAcentral lists this long non-coding RNA (1011 nucleotides) under Accipiter nisus (Eurasian sparrowhawk). RNAcentral describes it as "lncRNA (ENSANIG00000001213.1)". The record is from RNAcentral. Lineage: Eukaryota; Metazoa; Chordata; Aves; Accipitriformes; Accipitridae.